CAGUACCGUGAGGGAAAGGUGAAAAGCACCCCGGAAGGGGAGUGAAAGAGAUCCUGAAACCGUGUGCCUACAAAUAGUCAGAGCCCGUUAAUGGGUGAUGGCGUGCCUUUUGUAGAAUGAACCGGCGAGUUACGAUCCCGUGCGAGGUUAAGCUGAAGAGGCGGAGCCGCAGCGAAAGCGAGUCUGAAUAGGGCGUUUAGUACGUGGUCGUAGACCCGAAACCAGGUGAUCUACCCAUGUCCAGGGUGAAGUUCAGGUAACACUGAAUGGAGGCCCGAACCCACGCACGUUGAAAAGU
RNAcentral lists this ribosomal RNA (298 nucleotides) under Bacillus cereus. RNAcentral's name for it is "partial 23S ribosomal RNA". It matches the Rfam family "Bacterial large subunit ribosomal RNA", at positions 496 to 797 of the family's 2925-position model. Lineage: Bacteria; Bacillati; Bacillota; Bacilli; Caryophanales; Bacillaceae. The record is from RNAcentral.